AUGUGUUGUCCUCGUGCUGUAUGCGGUAGAUGUGGUCUUAGUGGGCACCUUGUUCCUAUCUGCAAUAUUGUUAUUCCUUGGGAAUGUGUGGCUCCUAUGUGUGGAUUUCAAGCUAAUGGGAAGGGUUUCUUCUAUAUCCAUGAUGCUAGUACACCUAAGCAGAAUACUGACAGGAACAGAUAUAUUGUGAUCACUAUGAUUGAGGGGCAGGCUAGUGUAGACAGUUAG
This 228-nucleotide ribosomal RNA is filed under the name Triticum aestivum (bread wheat). Its description in RNAcentral is "partial small subunit ribosomal RNA". The record is from RNAcentral. Lineage: Eukaryota; Viridiplantae; Streptophyta; Magnoliopsida; Poales; Poaceae.